AUUGAACGCUAGCGGGAUGCCUUACACAUGCAAGUCGAACGGCAGCGCGGACUUCGGUCUGGCGGCGAGUGGCGAACGGGUGAGUAAUGUAUCGGAACGUGCCUAGUAGCGGGGGAUAACUACUCGAAAGAGUAGCUAAUACCGCAUACGCCCUACGGGGAAAGGGGGGAGUCGCAAGACCUCUCACUAUUAGAGCGGCCGAUAUCGGAUUAGCUUGUUGGUGAGGUAAUGGCUCACCAAGGCGACGAUCCCUAGCUGGUCUGAGAGGAUGAUCAGCCACACUGGAACUGAGACACGGUCCAGACUCCUACGGGAGGCAGCAGUGGGGAAUUUUGGACAAUGGACGCAAGUCUGAUCCAGCCAUUCCGCGUGCAGGACGAAGGCCUCGGGUUGUAAACUGCUUUGUACAGAACGAAAAGGUCUCUAUUAAUACUAGGGCUCAUGACGGUACUGUAAGAAUAAGCACCGGCUAACUACGUGCCAGCAGCC
RNAcentral lists this ribosomal RNA (489 nucleotides) under uncultured bacterium. RNAcentral's name for it is "bacterial SSU rRNA". It matches the Rfam family "Bacterial small subunit ribosomal RNA", at positions 30 to 516 of the family's 1533-position model. The record is from RNAcentral.